Molecule: ribosomal RNA, 467 nt
Filed under: uncultured bacterium
Lineage: Bacteria
Description: partial 16S ribosomal RNA
Rfam family: Bacterial small subunit ribosomal RNA
Source: RNAcentral
GACGAACGCUGGCGGCGUGCUUAACACAUGCAAGUCGAACGGAAAGGCCUCUUUCGGGGGGUACUCGAGUGGCGAACGGGUGAGUAACACGUGAGUAACCUGCCCUUGACUUUGGGAUAACUUCAGGAAACUGGGGCUAAUACCGGAUAGGAGCUCCUGCUGCAUGGUGGGGGUUGGAAAGUUUCGGCGGUUGGGGAUGGACUCGCGGCUUAUCGGCUUUUUGGGGGGGUAGUGGCUUACCAAGGCUUUGACGGGAAGACGGCCUGAGAGGGUGACCGGCGACAGAGGGCCCGAGGGAAGGCCGGAGUCGCGAGGGGGGGACGAGGGGGGGAAUCCUGAACCAGGCGUGCAGCCUGCGGGAAGAAGGCCUGCGGGUGGGAAGCCGGUUUUGGGCUGGAAGAAAGCUUCCGCGCUAACAGCCCGUUGGGGUGAGGGUAGGGGAAAAAUAAGCACGGGCUAACUACGUG